Molecule: non-coding RNA, 30 nt
Filed under: Rattus norvegicus (Norway rat)
Lineage: Eukaryota; Metazoa; Chordata; Mammalia; Rodentia; Muridae
Source: RNAcentral
UUUUAAAAGGUCGAAUUACUUGAAAAGAAA